CCUACGGGAGGCUGCAGUGAGGAAUAUUGGUCAAUGGCCGGAAGGCUGAACCAGCCAUGCCGCGUGAAGGUCAGUGCCCUAUGGGCGUUAAACUUCUUUUGUGCGGGAGCAAUAAUGGUCACGUGUGGCCAGACGAGAGUACCGUACGAAUAAGAAUCGGCUAACUCCGUGCCAGCAGCCGCGGUAAUACGGGGGAUGCAAGCGUUAUCCGGAUUUAUUGGGUUUAAAGGGUGCGUAGGCUGUGAGGUAAGUCAGCGGUGAAAUGCCCCCGCUCAACGGGGUGAAGUGCCAUUGAUACUGCCUGGCUGGAAUGCGGAUGCCGUGGGAGGAAUGUGUGGUGUAGCGGUGAAAUGCAUAGAUAUCACACAGAACACCGAUUGCGAAGGCAUCUCACGAAGCCGCGAUUGACGCUGAUGCACGAAAGCGUGGGUAUCAAACAGGAUUAGAUACCCGGGUAGUC
Molecule: ribosomal RNA, 460 nt
Filed under: uncultured bacterium
Lineage: Bacteria
Description: partial 16S ribosomal RNA
Rfam family: Bacterial small subunit ribosomal RNA
Source: RNAcentral